Molecule: long non-coding RNA, 3942 nt
Organism: Harpia harpyja (harpy eagle)
Lineage: Eukaryota; Metazoa; Chordata; Aves; Accipitriformes; Accipitridae
Exons: 8
Source: RefSeq, a predicted model, not a curated record
GGGGGGGGACGCGGGUCUUUCGUCGUCUUUUCAUCUUUCAUCGGGCUUAGAACUCCAUAAUUUCCAUGCUGAAAUUUUUCCACGCUGGACAUCUGCCUUGAGGCAAUGAGGUUUUCAGAGAUGACUGGAUACAGGUGGCCUGGAGUUCUGUUUUUCUGAUGAGGAAAGGAACCAGAUGGAAACCAGGUAGAGAAGAAACAAUGGAACAAUUACAUGAGUUCUUGACAGAGUGCAGCAAAAUGCCAGGGCAUAGCUUAACGAAUCAGCCAUUUCCAAAGAAAAAGAUCCCAAAACAUGAAAGGCUCUGAGAAAAUGUUUGAUCCCAGGCAGUAAACUCGGCAACCUUGUCUCUGACCAGCGCUUUGGAAAAGGGACUCAAAGCUUAUCUGGCAGGUCGGUCUGUCCGCAUCAAGGACACAUCCUGUCACUCUGGUGAAAGAUGUCGCAAUUUCUCCAUGUAUGGUCCAUCACAGUCUCUAACCUGGGUGGUGCCAGUUCAGCACUUCUGUUAAAUGUGGAAUGAUAUAAAAUUAAAUUGGUCCUUGAAGCCAUCCAAAAUUCCCUCUGUUCCUUGCUGCACCAAUCAGUGGUUGAAUCAGCAGAGGGGAUGCCACUUCCUAGUCAGAGCACAGGAGCACAUGCAGCCAUUUGAGCGCAAACACCUGGCCUUUCCUUCUCACCAGUCUGCGCAAUGGGAUCUAUUCCAGAAUGCUCGGAUUUUCAUGGGUGUUCCCUCCACGAUGGGAAGCAGCUGAUCAGUUAUCCCAGCAAGCACUGAAGGCUUGCUUGCCAGUAUGGAAGGAGACUCUCUCCAUACAGCCUUCCGUGGUGAUCUCCUGGGAGGGGAUGGUUCAGUCCUGUGGUACAGCGUCCCUGCAUACAGAAUUCAUGCCAUAGUCCUGAAACAUGGGGAUUUGCCUCUUCAGCCUGGGAACGGACUGGCGCAUCACUUCUUAAGGUGAUUUUAGCCCAGUGAACCACUUGCCUUCACCUAAAGAUGGAGUUUGAAGCUUAGAGGGGAUGUAAUUAAUCACCUUAGAGUCUCUUCCAUUGUACUAGAUCAGAGCAAAGGUCCUUCUAUCACAGCAUCCAUUCUCUCUCAGGUCACACCACUGAGCUGAUAGUAUUUGGUAGUUGCAGGUCUGCAACUCUGAUCAAAACCAGAAACUCUACCCUGUAGCUGGGCAGUUAAUAUAGUAGGCAACAGGGCCCUGACAAGUCAUCUUGCUCAGAGGUUUGAAGUCCUUUUUUUUCCCCCGUGUGUAUCUAAGCAUUGACCAAAACCACAGACAACUUCUUUGAUAAUCAAACACAGCGUAUGGUUGACUGGGCUGCUGGAGCAGUGGCUGUCUCAUGUUUAUACUACAUCAAAGACAAAAAUAUUUCUCUAGACCAAUAUUAAACAGGUUUCUUUUUUCAAGAUGGUAAAGGGUCAUUGGUUCCCAGAAUAGGCACUACAUGGAAAAUAUCAAAAUACCUUCAGCUCUGUGUCACCACACAGAUUUUCCACAGUUAAAUUUACUUUCCGUCACGUAUAUCAGAAGUGUGAGAAAUCUGGAAAACCCUGGACUACCCCAGACUGCUACUUUCAACUGACAUUGAUAGGGGCUUACCCUACCUAACAGUAACAAUGAAUGUAAAUAUAUUUUUGAGGUUCCUUGAAAAGUCUGUCCAUUUGAGUCUCUCUAACAGACAAGUACUUCUUUUUUUGGACAACCAUUCUUUUAGUGGGCUGAAACCGAAGAUAGAAGAAGCCAACGGCAAUGACUGCAGUGCUACUGUGAUAUUUACACAUCACGAGUCACUGCUGUAUGUUCUUUAAUUCUGAUAAAGGGGAAAUAGGGAACAGGGAAAAUAAUUUGGAACCCCAUGGCAACUGGGCAGUCUCCCCCUAUUUCACCCAUUACUCCUCUAGACCAGAGCUGCCAAUGUCCAGUGCUGUCUGUAGUCCUUGUACCCUCACACGUGGCACCAGGCUGCCAAGUGACAUGGUAGAUUGAGGGAGGGUCUUUUUUUCAUUAUCUUUUUCAGAGACUCUGAGAUUUUCACUGAAUCUUCUUUCCUGGGUACUGGAUCUGACAAUUUUCCAGCAGUCUCAGCUCAGUAGCCUGCCCUUAGCUAUUCCUCUUUGACUGGUAGAUAAAUCUGUUCAUCCUGACACAUACUCUUUAAUAUAAUUCUUCUGCCGCUGUCAGCAGGCAGAGGACAAGUGGAAAACAAAAAGCACCAAGCUAACAAUCAAUCCUUACACACAAUGUAAUGUCAGAAGAGAAAAGGCUGUGAUCUCCCCUCUGCACUGUACUCCAAAUUGGUGCAAUCAGUAUGAAGACGUGUUAACUGUGCUUUAAUGGCAAUUCCCUUCCUUCUCCUCCCUCCCAGCACCUGCCCCUUCAUCCCACCAAGAAGUGAUUCCUUCUUCCAGGGUGAUUCUGUUACAAACUAUUACCAUGCAGGCAGCAUGGACAAAAUAGCAGUGCUCCUCCUUAAUCUAUUUGGACAGCUGCUGGAGUUAAAAUGGAGUGCUGCUUGCAGAGAUGUUUAGUCUCCACAUGCCAUACCUUUGUGCAGACCCCUUUGAAGUCUUCUCCCAAGAUGACUAAAUUUUAACCUCCCUUGGCCCUUGGUAUUCUGUAACUCUGGCAAGAGUAUAAAAUGUGUUUUGUUUGGUCUUUUCCCGGUUUCUACAGGCUAAAUCAAUCUAAUUCAAACUCUUUUUUUUAAAUAAAAGAUGUUGUUAAAUAAAAGAUACUGUUCACUUGCAGACUUGGGAAACCCCCUUUGAGGUUUUUUUACCACAGGCUUUCCCUCAAAGAGUUUGCAUUUCUGCCACCAGCUCUUUCUAGGCCUUUGGAUAGUGGCCAGCAGAUAAAGCUUUAGAAAGAAAAGACAAAGCUAGUUAAUUUGAAAGGAAAACUUGCUUAAUAUGUUCAAAAAACCCUAAUACCAAGGCACUGGUUUGGAGAGCUGAUCCGUGCUUUUGAUAGGCAUUUCAGUCUCAGCUCCAUCUUGCAGCAUGUUUGCAUGGAUUUGGGAAAAGCAUAUUCUGGUCAACAUACGCAACCUGUACAUCUUCCAGUUCAUCACAAACUGGCUGCAUGGCCUCCCAACGCGUGUGUGCUGAGCCAGGAGGCUGCGUGGGCGUAGGUCAGUCUGAACAACCUUCCCAGCCGAAUGGGAUAGCUGGGGACAGGCUACUGAGCCUGAGAUUCACGGAUAAUUAAGUAGAUGGCUGAUGAGGUGAGUGAGUGUUACAUGACACCAUUUCAGAGGCAGGAUGGCAAUGCAUCAACGAUCUCCUCAGAAGCCUGUGUUUCAAGGAGUCACAUUGUCAGGGUGCCACAGAGGUGCCCCGAUGGUGAAGACAGGAGAGCUUCAUCGACCCGUGUGAUGAAAACGUGGAGCUUUGGACUUCUGGAAAAGAGCUACUAAGUUCUACUUCUCAUCUCUCUCUGUGAGAAUUAGGGGAUCAAAAAAGAAUCCUCUCCUGUCAUUUACUCAUUCAGGUAGCCCAAGUCGGUGGUGUUGGCAUUCACCGUGGUGAUCCAGAGGAACAGAAGAGCAAAAUCUCUCAACAGAGAAUGACCUCACUUCUGGCCUGGCUUAUUGGAAGGGUAAAUACCGAAAAUAAUGAAAUAAUUCUCUCUGUCUUGCCCAGGGCUCUUGAAAACAAUGGGGCUGCUUGAUAUUUCAUGAAUGCUGUAGGGCAGGACCCUUUUCAAUCUUUUACCUGACUGGAGUAUUCAGAUCCCUAGCAGAUAUUUUGAGCUCCUAAGUUUUGCUGAGACUGAGAGCAUGCAACCUGUUUUAUAGGAGCUACUGCUGUUUACUCUUCAUCACAGACCAAAAUAAAUACCUCUGUAAUUGACAAGUAUGGGAUAAUCUGCCCCAAGUGUAAAAAAACUCAUCCUAAAAGUCAGAAAUUAAUUAAAUACCUAAAAUACA